Molecule: long non-coding RNA, 1028 nt
Organism: Oncorhynchus tshawytscha (Chinook salmon)
Lineage: Eukaryota; Metazoa; Chordata; Actinopteri; Salmoniformes; Salmonidae
Source: Ensembl
CCCAGUUUGUAGAUUGAUAACAAGGUGUUUUAAAAGGUGGUGAACGUUAAUUUGUUUUAAAGUGACAGAGGAGAUAGUUGAUAUUUACUGUAUCUGUAUGUUAUGUUUUGUGUAUAUAUAUUUAUAUAUAUAUAUAUAUAUUUGUGUUUAUUUAUUACCCAUUUUUCACAAAUAAAAUGUCAUAUUCCUAAAAAAGAAUAAAUGAUUAUGAUCAUUAAAUACAUCUACGUUUAAUUACCCCGUUAUAUAAUGAAAUAACACCGUGUGUGUAGCGUAACAGAUGUCAAAUUCUUCCAGACGACAAGCUCAGUCCAUUCCAGUGUCUUCCUGUUCUUAUCGCGGCUCCUCAAUGGAAAUCCGCAACACAUUUUGUUCCUAACCACCAAGCAUGGCCCUUUGGGAAUAGAAUGGCCAAUGUAAUUUGACACUUCAACUUACUGUGCUCUCUAUCUUAGUUGAUUCACCCACUGACGUUGAGCCCCAGUCAUUCUCAGUGGUAGUCACUAGAGGAAGAUCAUUAAAAAAAAAUAAAAAAAAAACAAGAUCCUGAAUAUUACUAAAGAGGACUUUCUCCGAGUCGUUUCGCCACUCGCUUUAAAUCUGGAGCAGCAGAAUCUGGGGCGGAGGACCAAUACCUGACAUGGGGGGGUGGGGGGGUCUGAGGUGGCGGCAGACAGAGAGACACGGAGGAAGAAGAAUCCAGGGUUUACAGUCAACACAGGUGAGUUCCUUUCCUCAUUAAACUAUCUCACCCUUUUCCCAAUGCAGAGCCUGGGCUCUAAACUCUGGGAUAGUGUUUGGUUGGUCCUACUUGUUAUAAACUCUGGGACAGUGUUUGGUUGGUUCUACUUGUUAUAAACUCUGGGAUAGUGUUUGGUUGGUUCUACUUGCUAUAAACACUGGGAUAGUGUUAGUGCAGGGUAGCCUAGUGGUUAGAGCAUUGGACUAGUAACUGGAAGGUUGCAAGUUCAAAACCCCAAACUGACAAAGUACAAAUCUGUCGUUCUGCCCCUGAACAGGCAGUUAAC